GAUGAACGCUGGCGGCGUGCCUAAUACAUGCAAGUCGAGCGAACGGACGAGAAGCUUGCUUUUCUGAUGUUAGCGGCGGACGGGUGAGUAACACGUGGAUAACCUACCUAUAAGACUGGGAUAACUUCGGGAAACCGGAGCUAAUACCGGAUAAUAUUUUGAACCGCAUGGUUCAAAAGUGAAAGACGGUCUUGCUGUCACUUAUAGAUGGAUCCGCGCUGCAUUAGCUAGUUGGUAAGGUAACGGCUUACCAAGGCAACGAUGCAUAGCCGACCUGAGAGGGUGAUCGGCCACACUGGAACUGAGACACGGUCCAGACUCCUACGGGAGGCAGCAGUAGGGAAUCUUCCGCAAUGGGCGAAAGCCUGACGGAGCAACGCCGCGUGAGUGAAGAAGGUCUUCGGAUCGUAAAACUCUGUUAUUAGGGAAGAACAUAUGUGUAAGUAACUGUGCACAUCUUGACGGUACCUAAUCAGAAAGCAACGGCUAACUACGUG
RNAcentral lists this ribosomal RNA (497 nucleotides) under uncultured bacterium. Its description in RNAcentral is "partial 16S ribosomal RNA". It matches the Rfam family "Bacterial small subunit ribosomal RNA", at positions 28 to 507 of the family's 1533-position model. The record is from RNAcentral.